This 573-nucleotide ribosomal RNA is filed under the name uncultured marine eukaryote. RNAcentral describes it as "SSU rRNA". It matches the Rfam family "Eukaryotic small subunit ribosomal RNA", at positions 1 to 580 of the family's 1831-position model. The record is from RNAcentral.
AACCUGGUUGAUCCUGCCAGUAGUCAUAUGCUUGUCUCAAAGACUAAGCCAUGCAUGUCUAAGUAUAAGUAUUAUACAGCGAAACUGCGAAUGGCUUAUUAAAACAGUUAUAAUUUAUUUGAUAAUCGAAUUUACAUGGAUAACCGUGGUAAUUCUAGAGCUAAUACAUGCUGGUAGGCCCGACUUUUUGGAAGGGCGGUAUUUAUUAGAUAACAAACCAAUAUUCCUCUGGUCUAUUGUGGUGAAUCAUAAUAACUGAUCGAAUCGCAAGGUUUUUAACCGCGAUAAGUCAUUCAAGUUUCUGCCCCAUCAGCUUUCGAUGGUAGUGUAUUGGACUACCAUGGCUUUUACGGGUAACGGAGGAUUAGGGUUCGAUUCCGGAGAGGGAGCCUGAGAAACGGCUACCACAUCUAAGGAAGGCAGCAGGCGCGUAAAUUACCCAAUCCUGACUCAGGGAGGUAGUGACAAGAAAUAACGGACCGAGGCCUUCGGGCUUCGGGAUUGCAAUGAGCCGAAUUUACACCCCUUAGCGAAGAUCGAUUGGAGGGCAAGUCUGGUGCCAGCAGCCGCGGU